UGGGGAAUAUUGGACAAUGGGCGCAAGCCUGAUCCAGCAAUGCCGCGUGUGUGAAGAAGGCCUUCGGGUUGUAAAGCACUUUUAUCAGGAGCGAAAUACCACGGGUUAAUACCCUAUGGGGCUGACGGUACCUGAGGAAUAAGCACCGGCUAACUUCGUGCCAGCAGCCGCGGUAAUACGAAGGGUGCAAGCGUUAAUCGGAAUUACUGGGCGUAAAGCGUGCGUAGGUGGUGAUUUAAGUCGGCUGUGAAAUCCCCGGGCUCAACCUGGGAAUGGCAGUGGAUACUGGAUCGCUAGAGUGUGAUAGAGGAUGGUGGAAUUCCCGGUGUAGCGGUGAAAUGCGUAGAGAUCGGGAGGAACAUCAGUGGCGAAGGCGGCCAUCUGGAUCAACACUGACACUGAGGCACGAAAGCGUGGGGAGCAAACAGG
RNAcentral lists this ribosomal RNA (429 nucleotides) under Bacillota bacterium. RNAcentral describes it as "Firmicutes bacterium partial 16S ribosomal RNA". It matches the Rfam family "Bacterial small subunit ribosomal RNA", at positions 355 to 776 of the family's 1533-position model. Lineage: Bacteria; Bacillati; Bacillota. The record is from RNAcentral.